Molecule: ribosomal RNA, 1485 nt
Filed under: Limosilactobacillus fermentum
Lineage: Bacteria; Bacillati; Bacillota; Bacilli; Lactobacillales; Lactobacillaceae
Description: bacterial SSU rRNA
Rfam family: Bacterial small subunit ribosomal RNA
Source: RNAcentral
UAUGCUCAGGAUGAACGCCGGCGGUGUGCCUAAUACAUGCAAGUCGAACGCGUUGGCCCAAUUGAUUGAUGGUGCUUGCACCUGAUUGAUUUUGGUCGCCAACGAGUGGCGGACGGGUGAGUAACACGUAGGUAACCUGCCCAGAAGCGGGGGACAACAUUUGGAAACAGAUGCUAAUACCGCAUAACAWCGUUGUUCGCAUGAACAACGCUUAAAAGAUGGCUUCUCGCUAUCACUUCUGGAUGGACCUGCGGUGCAUUAGCUUGUUGGUGGGGUAACGGCCUACCAAGGCGAUGAUGCAUAGCCGAGUUGAGAGACUGAUCGGCCACAAUGGGACUGAGACACGGCCCAUACUCCUACGGGAGGCAGCAGUAGGGAAUCUUCCACAAUGGGCGCAAGCCUGAUGGAGCAACACCGCGUGAGUGAAGAAGGGUUUCGGCUCGUAAAGCUCUGUUGUUAAAGAAGAACACGUAUGAGAGUAACUGUUCAUACGUUGACGGUAUUUAACCAGAAAGUCACGGCUAACUACGUGCCAGCAGCCGCGGUAAUACGUAGGUGGCAAGCGUUAUCCGGAUUUAUUGGGCGUAAAGAGAGUGCAGGCGGUUUUCUAAGUCUGAUGUGAAAGCCUUCGGCUUAACCGGAGAAGUGCAUCGGAAACUGGAUAACUUGAGUGCAGAAGAGGGUAGUGGAACUCCAUGUGUAGCGGUGGAAUGCGUAGAUAUAUGGAAGAACACCAGUGGCGAAGGCGGCUACCUGGUCUGCAACUGACGCUGAGACUCGAAAGCAUGGGUAGCGAACAGGAUUAGAUACCCUGGUAGUCCAUGCCGUAAACGAUGAGUGCUAGGUGUUGGAGGGUUUCCGCCCUUCAGUGCCGGAGCUAACGCAUUAAGCACUCCGCCUGGGGAGUACGACCGCAAGGUUGAAACUCAAAGGAAUUGACGGGGGCCCGCACAAGCGGUGGAGCAUGUGGUUUAAUUCGAAGCUACGCGAAGAACCUUACCAGGUCUUGACAUCUUGCGCCAACCCUAGAGAUAGGGCGUUUCCUUCGGGAACGCAAUGACAGGUGGUGCAUGGUCGUCGUCAGCUCGUGUCGUGAGAUGUUGGGUUAAGUCCCGCAACGAGCGCAACCCUUGUUACUAGUUGCCAGCAUUAAGUUGGGCACUCUAGUGAGACUGCCGGUGACAAACCGGAGGAAGGUGGGGACGACGUCAGAUCAUCAUGCCCCUUAUGACCUGGGCUACACACGUGCUACAAUGGACGGUACAACGAGUCGCGAACUCGCGAGGGCAAGCAAAUCUCUUAAAACCGUUCUCAGUUCGGACUGCAGGCUGCAACUCGCCUGCACGAAGUCGGAAUCGCUAGUAAUCGCGGAUCAGCAUGCCGCGGUGAAUACGUUCCCGGGCCUUGUACACACCGCCCGUCACACCAUGAGAGUUUGUAACACCCAAAGUCGGUGGGGUAACCUUUUAGGAGCCAGCCGCCUAA